AAACCAGAGCCCGCGGGGCGGGGCUCCCUUUAGGUCCCGCCUUCCGCUGCCUCUCCGCCUAUAGUCGGAGCCCGCCGCGAGGGUUGCGUGGAAGCUCGCCUUCCCCGGCCAAUGGGAAGACGAGAAGCCUCCAUGUUGGGUGUGGCUGAAAGAUUGGCAGGCGACUCCCCGCCCCUGCCCCGCCCCGCUGGGCGAAGAACGCGGACUUGCGGGGCCGCCGGCUGCGGACUGGAGCUGCGCGGGUCAGGGAGAUAAUGGCUGCGCGGCCGAUCACCCUCGGCAUUGACCUGGGCACCACAUCUGUGAAGGCCGCUCUGCUGAGGGCCGCGCCCGACGACCCAUCUGGGUUCGAGGUGCUGGCGAGCUGUACCCGCGCUGCGCGGGCAGAGGCGGCGGUCGAGAGCGCGGUGGCCGGGACCCAGGGGCGGGAGCAGGAUGUGAGUAGAAUCCUCCAAGCCCUACACGAGUGCCUUGCUGCCCUUCCCAGGCCCCAGCUCCGGAGCGUCGUGGGCAUCGGGGUGUCGGGCCAGAUGCAUGGAGUCGUGUUUUGGAAGACAGGCCAAGGCUGUGAAUGGACAGAGGGAGGGAUUACCCCUGUGUUCGAGCCCAGAGCUGUUAGCCGCCUGGUCACGUGGCAGGAUGGCCGAUGUAGCAGCGAAUUCCUGGCCUCUCUGCCCCAGCCGAAGUCUCAUCUCAGUGUGGCCACGGGCUUCGGCUGCGCAACCAUCUUCUGGCUUUUGAAAUACCGCCCAGAGUUCCUGAAGUCCUAUGACGCAGCUGGUACCAUCCACGACUAUGUGGUUGCCAUGCUGUGUGGCUUGCCAAGACCCCUGAUGUCCGACCAGAAUGCUGCCAGCUGGGGCUAUUUCAACACGCAGAGCCAAAGCUGGAACGUGGAGAUACUGAGGAGCUCGGGUUUUCCUGUCCACCUGCUCCCAGACAUCGCCGAGCCUGGCAGUGUGGCAGGCAGAACUUCCCACAUGUGGUUUGAAAUCCCACAGGGGACGCAUGUGGGAGUGGCCUUGGGUGAUUUACAGGCCUCUGUCUAUUCCUGCAUGGCCCAGAGGACAGAUGCAGUUCUCAACAUCAGCACCUCGGUUCAGCUGGCAGCCUCCAUGCCUUCAGGAUUCCAGCCUGCACAGACUCCAGACCCUACGGCCCCAGUCGCCUACUUCCCAUACUUCGACAGGACCUACCUGGGGGUGGCCGCGUCACUCAAUGGUGGCAAUGUGCUGGCCACGUUCGUCCACAUGCUGGUUCAGUGGAUGGCAGAUCUAGGCCUGGAGGUUGAAGAAUCCACUGUGUAUUCACGCAUGAUCCAGGCAGCUGUGCGGCAGAGAGAUACCCACCUGACCAUCACCCCAACAGUGCUGGGGGAGAGGCACCUGCCAGACCAACUGGCCUCAGUAACCAGAAUCUCCUCCUCUGACCUCUCCCUGGGGCACGUGACCCGGGCUCUGUGCCGAGGCAUUGUUCAGAACCUGCACUCCAUGCUUCCGAUUCAGCAGCUCCAGGAGUGGGGCGUGGAGAGGGUGAUGGGCAGUGGGAGUGCGCUGUCCAGGAAUGAGGUGCUGAAGCAGGAGGUGCAGAGGGCUUUCCCGUUGCCCGUGUCCUUUGGGCAGGAUGUGGAUGCAGCUGUCGGGGCAGCUCUGGUCAUGCUCCGGAGACACCUCAACCAGAAGGAAUCUUAGACAGCAAACUCUUUUGCCAAACGACUGCUGUGAAUUUUACCUGAUUAACAUUCCUGACACCAUCUGUGGGUCAUCCUUUCCCUGGACCAUUCAGUGGACAGCUUUUAAGCAGUGCUUGUUGUGAGGUCCCAUCUCGGCCAAGAACUUACCUUCAGAACACACUCUAAUGAUGCAGCCAGGAGCUGUCAGCCAGAUCCCAAAUGAGUGCCUUCCGAAAUUGACCCACCUGGGAGCUAUUUACAAAUGUCCAUGUGGGAGAGAGAGAGCCUGAGAGCACAGUAGCCCAGACUUGUGGUCAGCAGGCUCAUCUGUGGUUCACCUGUAGACAGAGAGCAGAUCAAUGUGUACUUCAGACACCAGAAAGUCUGGUGGAUUUGGUCCCAAGUGGGAAAAGAGACCUGCCCCAUGCCCAGCUUUUGAUUAUUGUUUUUAGAGACCUGAAGCCCACACUCGGGUCAUAUGGACUUCUGGAAAAGUUCUUCUCUCCUGGACUGAAACAUGUGACCAGAGGCCCCUUUACUAGUCUCAUCCUUCCCUGGCCGCAGAUGCUUAGCUGGGGCACGGAUUGACCCAAGUGCGAUGCAGCAGGCUGGCUCAGAGGACGAUGCGGGGCUGUGUACCAGCCUUCUUGCUGCGUGUACUCAGCCUCAGGAGAGCUUGCUGCUCCCGGGCCGCCCAGGUCUUCACGGCACAACCGCCUGGAAGGCAGGUUGCAGAGAAGGAGAGGCGGAUGGCAUGAGCAGCAAGGGGGACCGAUGCCGUGCGUCUCACACCACUCCAGAACCUGACAAGGCACCAGCAGGACCCCUUGCUAGGAGCAUGUCUGUGCAGCCGUGUUUUUGCCCCUGCACGUCCCAGAAGCCCUCAUGGGAAGGGAUGCAGCCAGGCAGACUCCUGCCAGAUGGGGCAGGUAAUUUAUCCAAAGAGAACUCUGUAUCCCAUAGACCUAGGCUCUCCUUUUGCUUGGCGUGGGCUUUGCUGGCCCACUGUGUGUUCCUGGCUCAGCAGAAACAUCCAUUUGAGUCAGCAUCCCUGUAGGGAUCCCAGAGCGUCGUAAGCCUUCCUGUGAUUGGUAGGGAUGGCUGUGGGGUGGCUUCCACGAGGGGGCCGCCAUCGCCGCGUCUACUCCCAGACUCCCAAAGGAGCCCAGGCUCGAGCAGGCCUGGCCCAGAGGCACCCCGGAAACCAUGAGUUUGGGAAGCAGUCGUAUUCUCUCUCUCUCUCUCAGUAUCCACGACAGGGUGGUACGAAGGGAAGUGAGAAAAUAGGCACUGGUGGCCGGGCGCGGUGGCUCACACCUGGAAUCCCAGCGCUUUGGGAGGCCGAGGCAGGUGGAUGACGAGGUCAGGAGUUCAAGACCGGCCUGGCCAACAUGGCGAAACCCCGACUCUACUAAAAAUACAGCAAUUAGCUGGGCGCAAUGGCAGGUGCCUGCAAUUGCAGCUGUUUGGGAGGCUGAGGCAGGAGAAUCGCUUAAACCUGGGAGGCGGAGGUUGCAGUGAGCUGAGAUCGCGCCAUUGCACUCCAGCCUGGGCGACAGAGUGAGACUCCAUCUCAAGAAAAAAAAGGAAACAGACACUCAUAGUUAUCUGUGUUUUGUGGUUCCCUGAGGAACCCCCAGUUGAGAAGAAAGGCUGGGACCUGGCUGACCCAGAAGACUUUCUCGACGCAAACGCCUACUCCAGUUUUGGGGACCAGGAACGAGAGGCCUAGGAGAGUUGGGGACUAGUUCAAGGUUGCUCUGACUCUCAAAACAAGUCCCUAAUGCCAGGCCAGGACUGCGUGGCGAGCGGCACGACCCUCCAUUCCUUCUUUAUUUUGAAAACGGAACAGUUACAGGACGCUAGUUUUGAUGUCGCUGGCUGCGAAUGUGCAUUUGUGGAGCCGUUUCCCAGACCUCCGGGCUCAGGAGCCACAGGUUUGGGAGGCCGAGCAGCACCCUCCUUCCCUGAGAGCUGAGGUUGCAGCUCUGGCUGGCUCUGGUUGAGACUGAGCUAAAGUUAAUCUGCGGCGACGUUCUGGAUGUACUGGACAAACACCUCAUUCCAGCAGCUACCACUGGCAAGUCCAAGGUUUUCUAUUAUGAAAUGUAGGUUCUAUACUAACAAUUAACAAGUGUACUUCAAUACAUUUAAACAUUCUCAGGAAUAAUUGGCUUUGUUUCUUUUUUUUCUUAGGCAUUUAAUAUUAUUUUCCUUAUUAAAUAUAACCAAAAAUCCCACAGAAAUUAACAAGAGGAGGAGCCUCUAAAUAUCAACAAAAUUAUCACUUGAUAGACUAGAAUUAAACAAGCAAAUGAUUCUAAGAAAUGGCACAAGUGUAUUCAUCAUAAAAUAAAAUUUCUACAUGAAACAUUCA
This is an RNA transcript of Symphalangus syndactylus (siamang), 4049 nucleotides long. It is a transcript of the gene named sedoheptulokinase, with no coding region annotated. The record is from RefSeq and is a predicted model, not a curated record. NCBI's taxonomy places the organism in Eukaryota, Metazoa, Chordata, Mammalia, Primates, Hylobatidae.